Molecule: ribosomal RNA, 492 nt
Filed under: uncultured bacterium
Lineage: Bacteria
Description: partial 16S ribosomal RNA
Rfam family: Bacterial small subunit ribosomal RNA
Source: RNAcentral
AGUGAGCGCUGGCGGUAGGCCUAACACAUGCAAGUCGAACGGCAGCACAGUAAGAGCUUGCUCUUACGGGUGGCGAGUGGCGGACGGGUGAGGAAUACAUCGGAAUCUACUUUUUCGUGGGGGAUAACGUAGGGAAACUUACGCUAAUACCGCAUACGACCUACGGGUGAAAGCAGGGGAUCUUCGGACCUUGCGCGAUUGAAUGAGCCGAUGUCGGAUUAGCUAGUUGGCGGGGUAAAGGCCCACCAAGGCGACGAUCCGUAGCUGGUCUGAGAGGAUGAUCAGCCACACUGGAACUGAGACACGGUCCAGACUCCUACGGGAGGCAGCAGUGGGGAAUAUUGGACAAUGGGCGCAAGCCUGAUCCAGCCAUACCGCGUGGGUGAAGAAGGCCUUCGGGUUGUAAAGCCCUUUUGUUGGGAAAGAAAAGCAGCAGGUUAAUACCCCGCUGUUCUGACGGUACCCGAAGAAUAAGCACCGGCUAACUUCGUG